This 490-nucleotide ribosomal RNA is filed under the name uncultured bacterium. Its description in RNAcentral is "partial 16S ribosomal RNA". It matches the Rfam family "Bacterial small subunit ribosomal RNA", at positions 29 to 505 of the family's 1533-position model. The record is from RNAcentral.
AGUGAACGCUGGCGGUAGGCCUAACACAUGCAAGUCGAACGGCAGCACAGUAAGAGCUUGCUCUUACGGGUGGCGAGUGGCGGACGGGUGAGGAAUACAUCGGAAUCUACUUUUUCGUGGGGGAUAACGUAGGGAAACUUACGCUAAUACCGCAUACGACCUACGGGUGAAAGCAGGGGAUCUUCGGACCUUGCGCGAUUGAAUGAGCCGAUGUCGGAUUAGCUAGUUGGCGGGGUAAAGGCCCACCAAGGCGACGAUCCGUAGCUGGUCUGAGAGGAUGAUCAGCCACACUGGAACUGAGACACGGUCCAGACUCCUACGGGAGGCAGCAGUGGGGAAUAGUGGACAAUGGGCGCAAGCCUGAUACAGCCAUACCGCGUGGGUGAAGAAGGCCUUCGGGUUGUAAAGCCCUUUUGUUGGGAAAGAAAAGCAGCAGGUUAAUACCCCGCUGUUCUGACGGUACCCAAAGAAUAAGCACCGGCUAACUUCG